GAUGAACGCUGGCGGCGUGCCUAAUACAUGCAAGUCGAGCGAACAGACGAGGAGCUUGCUCCUCUGACGUUACCGGCGGACGGGUGAGUAACACGUAGAUAACCUACCUAUAAGACUGGGAUAACUUCGGGAAACCGGAGCUAAUACCGGAUAAUAUAUUGAACCGCAUGGUUCUAUAGUGAAAGACGGUUUUGCUGUCACUUAUAGAUGGAUCCGCGCCGCAUUAGCUAGUUGGUAAGGUAACGGCUUACCAAGGCAACGAUGCGUAGCCGACCUGAGAGGGUGAUCGGUCACACUGGAACUGAGACACGGUCCAGACUCCUACGGGAGGCAGCAGUAGGGAAUCUUCGGCAAUGGGCGAAAGCCUGACGGAGCAACGCCGCGUGAGUGAAGAAGGUCUUCGGAUUGUAAAGCUCUGUUAUUAGGGAAGAACAAAUGUGUAAGAAACUAUUCACGUCUUGACGGUACCUAAUCAGAAAGCCACGGCUAACUACGUG
RNAcentral lists this ribosomal RNA (497 nucleotides) under uncultured bacterium. RNAcentral describes it as "partial 16S ribosomal RNA". It matches the Rfam family "Bacterial small subunit ribosomal RNA", at positions 28 to 507 of the family's 1533-position model. The record is from RNAcentral.